UGUUGACAAAUGUGGGCGGGACUGUUGGGGAUCGAUAGUGUGUGUGUGUGUGUGUGUGUGUGUGUGUGUGUGUGUGUGUAAGAGCGCAGUGACGUCUGUCUCUCUUCAACCCGCACACUCUCUACUCUCUGGAAUGGAAAAAUGCAGCGUUCGCCACCAACUGUCCACAUCAAGGGCCCACCUAAUAUGGGAAGAAGGCAGGUAAAUAGUAGUGCCCCUUUCCCAAAUAUUAAAAGUAGAAAUGACCAGAAAGGACGACGACGUCGUAAGAUGA
Molecule: non-coding RNA, 274 nt
Organism: Caenorhabditis elegans
Lineage: Eukaryota; Metazoa; Nematoda; Chromadorea; Rhabditida; Rhabditidae
Source: Ensembl